GGACUACUGGGGUAUCUAAUCCUGUUUGAUCCCCUUGCUUUCGCGCCUCAGCGUCAGGAAUAAAAUAGAAAACCGCCUUCGCCACCGGUGUUCUUCCACAUAUCUACGCAUUUCACCGCUACUUGUGGAAUUCCAUUUUCUCCUUCUACCCUCUAGAGAGACAGUCUCAAAUGCAGCACCGAAGUUGAGCCCCGGUAUUUCACAUCUGACUUGAAUCCCCGCCUACGCGCCCUUUACGCCCAAUAAUUCCGAUUAAUGCUUGCACCCUCCGUAUUACCGCGGCUGCUGGCAC
RNAcentral lists this ribosomal RNA (292 nucleotides) under uncultured bacterium. Its description in RNAcentral is "partial 16S ribosomal RNA". The record is from RNAcentral.